UCUAAUAUGGCAGAUAAGUGCAAUGGACUUAAGCCCCAUAUAUAAAGAAUUCACUUUUAUUAGAA
Molecule: transfer RNA, 65 nt
Filed under: Elliptorhina javanica
Lineage: Eukaryota; Metazoa; Arthropoda; Insecta; Blattodea; Blaberidae
Description: tRNA-Leu
Source: RNAcentral